RNAcentral lists this ribosomal RNA (250 nucleotides) under uncultured prokaryote. RNAcentral describes it as "partial 16S ribosomal RNA". It matches the Rfam family "Bacterial small subunit ribosomal RNA", at positions 524 to 775 of the family's 1533-position model. The record is from RNAcentral.
UACGUAGGUGGCAAGCGUUGUCCGGAAUGACUGGGCGUAAAGGGUGCGUAGGCGGCCAUUCAAGUUAGUAGUGAAAUUCCGGGGCUUAACCUCGGCGCUACUACUAAGACUGUGGCUUGAGUGCAGGAGAGGUAAGCGGAAUUCCUAGUGUAGCGGUGGAAUGCGUAGAUAUUAGGAAGAACACCGGUGGCGAAAGCGGCUUGCUGGCCUGUAACUGACGCUGAGGCACGAAAGCGUGGGGAGCAAACAG